UGUAUAUGCACUGACGCCUGCCCGGUGCCGGAAGGUUAAGAGGAUCCGUCAGCCUUCGGGUGAAGCGGUGAAUUCAAGCCCCGGUAAACGGCGGUGGUAACAAUAACCAUCCUAAGGUAGCGAAAUUCCUUGUCGGGUAAGUUCCGACCUGCACGAAUGGCGUAACGACUUCCCCACUGUCUCGACCAGGAGCUCGGCGAAAUUGCAGUACGAGUAAAGAUGCUCGUUAAGCGCAGAAGGACGAAAAGACCCCGGGACCUUUUACUAUACCUUGGUAUUGGCAUUCGGUGUGGAUUGUGUAGCAUAGGCGGGAGGCCGAGAGGCGCGGUCGCCAGAUCGCGCGGAGCCGUAAGGUGAAAUACCGCUCUGUUCGCAUUGGAUGUCUAACCUCGAACAGUCAUCCUGUUCAGGGACAGUGCCUGGCGGGUAGUUUAACUGGGGCGGUUGCCUCCCAAAGAGUAACGGAGGCGCCCAAAGGUCCGCUCAGCCCGGUUGGCAAUCGGGUGGCGAGUGCAAGUGCACAAGCGGGCUUGACUGCGAGGACG
Molecule: ribosomal RNA, 545 nt
Filed under: uncultured bacterium
Lineage: Bacteria
Description: bacterial LSU rRNA
Rfam family: Bacterial large subunit ribosomal RNA
Source: RNAcentral